Molecule: non-coding RNA, 2140 nt
Organism: Camelina sativa (false flax)
Lineage: Eukaryota; Viridiplantae; Streptophyta; Magnoliopsida; Brassicales; Brassicaceae
Source: RefSeq, a predicted model, not a curated record
UGAUAUCUGGAAAGACAAAAGUUUUUUUAACAUUAUUUCUAUCCAAGAUAACAUAUAUUCCAUCGUUUCAUCUCUAUCUUGUAAUCGAUCCAUCUUUUCAUCUCAAUUUUCGAUUCGAUCAAUUUUACAGAAAACAUGGUAUAAUUAAAUUCAUUACUUCUUCAGUCCACCAAAUCUUGGGGAGAAAACUAUAAAAUCCAAAUAGGGGAAAAGCUGCGAUUACACGAAUCAGUUCAGUGUGUCUAUGGAGUUGAUGGUCCUAUCAAUCGGAUGAUUCAGUUUUGACCCAAGAGUUUAGCGAACCGAUUUAUCAAUUCAAUUGGGUUUGAUAUCAAAUGAGUUGUAUUUUCCUGUAGCCCAGUUAGUUACAAUAGAGUAAAAUUUCAUGAAGCCAGAAACAAUAAGGACAUGGUAUAACGUUUUUUGGCGGACGAGUUAAAUGAAAAGAGAAGCCUAUACAAAGAAGCCGAAGCAUAUAUAUAAAGACAUCAUAAUAUCCGUAAGAUAAGUAGUGUUUUUUCAAGUCAAUUCGAAGCAAACAAAUAAUUGUAUGAUGUUGCUUGCCGUAUGACGUUGAUCAACAUCACCUCCAUGAUGCCAUGUGAUAGGCACGACAGCGGCAGCCAUUGAAGAAGGCUUGAAAGAAUACAGAAAGGAGAAAGUAAAGAAGCCCAUAAAAGCCCAUUAUUCUGUGACGGAAACCGUUAAUAGAUCCGUCAAUAGUUCUGUUAAGAUAUCCAAUUCAAUAUUUCCGGGAUAAGAAGGGCUGAAGCGGACGUAUACCAUCUGACAAAACUUGUGUCAAGUUAAGUCGACUUUAACAAAAACAAAAAUGGGUCAGUUUGUAGCCUAAGAGUCUAAGACCUUCUCCAACGGGGGUUCAUAGAGGGAUUGUUAGUCUUUUGUUGGAAAAAAAUAAAUCAGAUAAAAAACAAAAUGAUGAGGGAGCCUCUUAUAUAGUAUAACCAAAUUUGUUCUAAGAUACCAUACGUGUCAUCGUUCUGUUGGCCAAACAAAAUACCCAAAUUUAAUUUCCUUAUUUUUCUUCUUCUUCUUCUCUCCCUCUCUUUCGCGAAAAUCUGCGAAAACAAAGAACGACAAUCGGACGAGAUCGAAUCGUUAUCUGAAGUUAUCGAGCGUUUUAUCAACAUCUCCACUGUGGCUGAGUCUCAUCGUGGACUAUGGUUCAGCUAAUCGGCGAGUCGGUUCAUUGAAAACCUUGAGUCUCCUUCACCAAAUCGAAGCAUUUCUAUCACCAAUUCGGAGAUUUGAAUCUACAAUAGUUUUUCACAUGAAGGAUCUCGUGUCCCAUUGCUGGCUGCCCUGAGCGCCUGAACUCUUUGGACCAUUCGAGUUCUUCAAGAGAACCCAACUCUCAAAGAAGCAAAGAGAGAAACAUCAGAGGCAACAUGUAUCAAAGCUGAAACACAAAGAAGAAGCUUCUUCAGAUGCUAUGGAAGUGGAAGACAAAGCCAUCGUUCUGUUUUGAAGAGAAACUGAAAGGGAAGCCAGGCUAUGAGCAUCUUAAUGCCACUUAUUUGACUCUCAUAUGCAAAAUCUAAAGGUUUAGUACCGUCUACAUUGGAAGUAGCAAAAUCAGAAGGUGGUUAAGUAGCAAGCAGAUUGAGGAAGAAGACUGGUGUCGAAAGCAAUACCAAACCUUUCCACGCGGUUCUUAUUGAUGCUUAAAUAUAUCUUUUAUGUCUCCAUUAAAACUGCAGGAAUAACGAUAUGGGACUGCUAUCACUCCCGUUGUUAUAUGGAGCAAAGAUAAAUGAUUUAAUCAUUGCUGGAGAAUGGUGGAGACUGGUCACACCCAUGUUUCUGGUACAAGACCAACAAAUUGGGUCUGUUCUCCCAUUCUUUACUGUUUUAAAAACACACUCAACCAAAACACAGCUUCGUUUAGAAACAAAACCAAAAUUUUUGGCACAAAUCAAUAUUGUGAUUAAUCUUUUCUGAAGCUGUAUAUAUGGAUGCAUAUGUAUCUCCUCUCGAGUGUUUUGGUUUCAUGAUGUAUCUAUCAUUCAAAAGCUGAUGUAUGAGAGAAAUAAAGUUAAUUCACGGUCUCAAAACAAAUACUGACAAUCUCCUCCUUGUAAAGUUCCAUUCAGAUCUUAUUAACUUCUUUUUGAUGAUA